GAACCCUUGGCGCAGCGGUAGCGCGUGAGAUUCCAGUCCUCAAGGUCAUCCGUUCAAAUCGGGUAGGGUUCA
Molecule: transfer RNA, 72 nt
Filed under: Ganoderma lucidum G.260125-1
Lineage: Eukaryota; Fungi; Basidiomycota; Agaricomycetes; Polyporales; Polyporaceae
Also listed under: 1 other name
Description: tRNA-Trp (CCA) (tRNA-Trp-CCA-1-1)
Rfam family: tRNA
About the family: Transfer RNA (tRNA) molecules are approximately 80 nucleotides in length. Their secondary structure includes four short double-helical elements and three loops (D, anti-codon, and T loops). Further hydrogen bonds mediate the characteristic L-shaped molecular structure. tRNAs have two regions of fundamental functional importance: the anti-codon, which is responsible for specific mRNA codon recognition, and the 3' end, to which the tRNAs corresponding amino acid is attached (by aminoacyl-tRNA synthetases). tRNAs cope with the degeneracy of the genetic code in two manners: having more than one tRNA (with a specific anti-codon) for a particular amino acid; and 'wobble' base-pairing, i.e. permitting non-standard base-pairing at the 3rd anti-codon position.
Source: RNAcentral